GCCACAGGUCCGGAUGAACCUGUUCCUCUCAAGGAACAAGUCCAUCUCUACAAUAUUUCAUGGAAGCAGUCAUAACAUUCAUGGUUUCUCCAAGAUAAUAAGACUGGAAUAAUCAUUAAAAACCCUGAUUCUUCCGCAUCGAUCCAACGAGUGAGUUUGCGUGAGUGUAUGUGUGUGUGUGUGUAUGUGUGCAUGCUCAGAGUUGCAGCAUGAUCUGGAGCUCUGGAUGCACAAAAGAAAGGGGAGGUGGAAUAUUCAGCAAGAAGUAUAAGACACGGUGCCUAGUAUCACAAAUUGCCUUUGAAGCGUGGCUCCUAAGGCGGAGCCACGCAUUUGCAGUUUGCAUGGAAGUUAGCAGUGAAUGAUACCAUCGCUUGCACAGGUGUUUGACAAGGAAGGAAAAUUGCUAGUGUAGGGUAGUUCAGGGUCAGACAUGUAUGCACGUCUUGAACUUGGACUUUCUCAACAGUUAAUGCAAGCGAAGAAGCACUGUAAACGAGCCGAAGUACUAUGACAAGAGCCUGCUUCACUAAUUCGGAGUGCCUGUCCGACUCCUCUGAACGAUCUUCUCUUAUUCUAAUUCCUGCGUUUGUCAACAACACAUCAUCUUGGCCACCAGAAGCACAGGAAGUUCUACUGAACUUGAGAUUCAUGCAUCUAGUGUUAGUCCUAAGGAGGCCAUCAAUACCAUGUUGCUUUGUUACGGCUUGACAGGUAUUCAGUGACAAUGUCACUGGUUCCAAGGUAACUGUUGAAUACUCUAGUUGGUUUCAUCAACGCUUGGUUGGAAUGCUUCGCAGUAUCUUUUGUGUAUUUGUGGCGCCAGGGCAAUGGUAACCGGGUUUCUGUUUUUCACUUUUGUUCAGAAAAUAGUUAUACGGCAUACAUGGAGAGCGUGAAAGCUGCGCAUGUGAAAAUUGUUUGUGUACUCCUCUGCACAGAAGGAUAUGUACUGCUCUCAUGAGCUCAUGAGAAACUAAAGGCUUCGUUGAUUUUUAGGAGGAUAAUUGCCCCAAGAAUUGUCAGACUGACAUGGUAGCGAGGCAGGAUUUGAAUAACGAUUGUGACAUUGUAAGCGGCAUCCAUGAAUGACGGCACUCGUGUCGUUCGUUUAGAAGAUCGUUUCAUUCUCAAGUUUGUUCGCUCUGAGGUCCAUUGAACUGAAGUGCCUGAGACUUAUGAAAAAAUUCCGAGAGGUGCUCAAGCCCUGUGUGUCUCUUCAAUACUAACAUGAAAAAACAUGAGUGUCACGGUCUCAAUUCUCAACGGAGAAAACUGUACAGUCCUGUUCAACAGAAUGUACAAAAAGUAAUGCGACAAAUGUCUGUUUGGCAUUGCAGAAUUCCUCUUGUUUUUCAUCUGCGUGAUAAUAUUUGUGAUAGGGUAUUUAUUUUUAUUUAUUUAUUUAUUUUUAAUUUAAUGUUGGGCUACUGUAGCUGAAUUAGCUGCCCUCUGUUUUGCAUGGAAUAGCCAAAAUCAUGUUCGUGCAUGCAGGGGCAUGCUGCCAAGACGAUUUGUCCAUCGGGACGUUAGCAGUGCGUUAAAUAAUCCGAUACUCCGCACAGCUGCCGUAUUCUAUGUUCGAGGUGGAUAAGAGUGAUAUUAUUGACGAAACCAUCAUGGAAACGGGGCUUAAAACGUGCAAUGAUACGAAGGGUGGGGAACUGGCACAUGAAAGGGCUAAACGGUUGUAAAAUAGACGAUUAAGAUUUGCAAUAGAGUUCUUACUCGACCACGAUUGAGGUUCCUGGACGAGCCUACCUGUGGCCUUGACAGGUCGGUCUAAAUUCCGAAGAAGGGUUACACUGACAUCCUUUACUUUAAAGAGUUUACUGGUUUCAAUCCCACAUAUGCUAGAUGACGUGCGCAGAACACCUGUGUACUUACCAACGUUACCUGAGUAAUGAUCUGCGUCUACAACUGUACGAUGUGCUGCCGCCUUUUCAGUCACGUCAAAACUCGAGAAAUUUGGCUCGGCGUCUAAAGCUACGGAGCUGCGCACUCUAUCUACAUCUUUUAUGGCCACUCGACAUAUGAGCCAUGACAUUCCGCUGUCCUUUGCUGCGAAAUUCCUGGGAACGUUUCCUUCGGCAUGUCAAUCCAUAAUUUGAUGAUCAAGAGCUUGACACUUCUCUGAUCAAGGAUAUGGAAAGAGGCGGGGGCCAUGGCGAAUCUAUCAACCAAUAUGGUGGUGAAAUUCUCAACGACGAGUAUGAAUAUUCACAUGAUGCGUUCACUGCGGAUUAGAAGAUCCAAUUCAUAUCGACUAGAGUAAGUCCUAAUAUACUAUCAAUAGUCCAAGCAUCGCGACUGUGGCUGAGAUCUUUCCAAUUUCUCAGUUGGAUGUAAUAAUCAGAUUCAUUAGAAGUUUUUCCCUGACACACAAAUGGCGACAGAACGGGUUGCCUAUAACGGUGUCUGAUAAGGAAGGAAGUUCAAACAGGUUCUUCCGCUUCUGCCAUAUGUUCCUAACAAUUUGUGUACGUUCAAUUAGCAUGGUAGUCAAGCAGGAUUUUCCACCCAAAUACAUGCACUAACCCGCAGAUCUUUUCGAUAACAUGCGUCGAGACUAGGGCUGUAACUGGCUGCAAAUAUAUUGUCUACAUCACGCUCAGGGUCAGCAUCGAAAGUGUCCAUCGCCAUGUUGACACUUCAUCGAACUCCAUCGGAGCGCAUUGUAAAACCACAAACGCAUGGAAUGUGUGUGCGCAUAUUAGAAGCACAAGAGGGGAUUGAUCUUCAACCAAAAGUAAUACUGAUGUGACAAUGUCGUAGGGGGUCGUAAGGUGUGUUAUAAAUCUAAAUAUUGAGAUUCAGUGGAUCAUAGUGUUUGAUAAGUAUUCGGGGAAUGCUCUCAUUUGAAAUUUACUAUGUCGACUUUGUCGGAAUCUCAUAGAAGCUUUGAGGAAGCGAUUUUUCUCUAGUACGAACUAGCUGCAGUAAUCCCCAGUUAGGACAACUUUGUUUUUUUACCUAACGCUAUAUACAUAUUUGAGUUUACUCUCCGCAGUAAUCCCAAUAAUUCCACAGUAGGAUAACUUUGUUUUUUUACCGAAUUCUAACUGUUGCGUGGAUUGGAUAUUAAUGAUCAAUGAUAAAAUGGAGGACUGGAUGUUACCAGAUAUCCAACAUGUUGGGUAUCACUAACUCCCCUCAACAUGGGCUCCUGUUGUCAACUCCAGAUGGCGUGUCAUUGUGCUUCCCCACUCAAUGCACUUGUGCAGUUGCAAGUUGCAAUUGACGAGCUGACGCUAUGUGAUUGGUGAUGGCGAUCCUCCUUUGCUUGUGCAGAGCGGCGUUUGGUUCUAUUUUGUCGUCGUUGGUGUUAGUUUUGUUGGAGGAGGAUUGUGAGAGUGACAAUAUAGGUUCCACAGCGGACAUAGCAACUUCUCGUAGUAUUUGAUUGAAAGGAGCUUCAGGGUUAGAGUUUUGUUCAGAGGUGCCACCAGCCAAGUUUUAGGCGGUUCAUCGUGGAUACUCCACGGGAGUGUUUGCCAUCGUGGCCAGAGUGUAGAACUCAAGUUCAAAGUUAUAAGGGUGUAAAAUAUAAGAGCUUUAGAGUACAAGAAAAGGCAAAGGAAUUUCUACAACAUGAAUGUUAAGUCUAAUUUUGGAGUCACAAUUUUUAAAAUUUUGUGUAACUAAGAUGGGACUCUCUUCAGUCCAAGAGAUUCCCUAUUGCUAAUAAAAUCCACUCGU
Molecule: non-coding RNA, 3699 nt
Organism: Physcomitrium patens
Lineage: Eukaryota; Viridiplantae; Streptophyta; Bryopsida; Funariales; Funariaceae
Source: RefSeq, a predicted model, not a curated record